CGGGUAGAGUAAUGCGUGACCAACCUGCCCCAUGCUCCAGAAUAGCUCUUGGAAACGGGUGGUAAUGCUGGAUGCUCCAACUUGACGCAUGUCUUGUUGGGAAAGUGUUUAGUGGCAUGGGAUGGGGUCGCGUCCUAUCAGCUUGUAGGCGGGGUAAUGGCCCACCUAGGCUUCGACGGGUAGCCGGCCUGAGAGGGCGGACGGCCACAUUGGGACUGAGAUACGGCCCAGACUCCUACGGGGGCAGCAGCU
This 252-nucleotide ribosomal RNA is filed under the name uncultured Gardnerella sp. RNAcentral describes it as "partial 16S ribosomal RNA". It matches the Rfam family "Bacterial small subunit ribosomal RNA", at positions 100 to 355 of the family's 1533-position model. Lineage: Bacteria; Bacillati; Actinomycetota; Actinomycetes; Bifidobacteriales; Bifidobacteriaceae. The record is from RNAcentral.